This 465-nucleotide ribosomal RNA is filed under the name uncultured bacterium. RNAcentral describes it as "partial 16S ribosomal RNA". It matches the Rfam family "Bacterial small subunit ribosomal RNA", at positions 28 to 507 of the family's 1533-position model. The record is from RNAcentral.
GAUGAACGCUGGCGGCGUGCUUAACACAUGCAAGUCGAACGGAAAGGCCCAAGCUUGCUUGGGUACUCGAGUGGCGAACGGGUGAGUAACACGUGGGUGAUCUGCCCUGCACUUCGGGAUAAGCCUGGGAAACUGGGUCUAAUACCGGAUAGGACCACAUUUUGGAUGGUGUGGUGGAAAGUUUUUCGGUGUGGGAUGAGCUCGCGGCCUAUCAGCUUGUUGGUGGGGUAAUGGCCUACCAAGGCGUCGACGGGUAGCCGGCCUGAGAGGGUGUACGGCCACAUUGGGACUGAGAUACGGCCCAGACUCCUACGGGAGGCAGCAGUGGGGAAUAUUGCACAAUGGGCGCAGGCCUGAUGCAGCGACGCCGCGUGGGGGAUGACGGCCUUCGGGUUGUAAACUCCUUUCGCUAGGGACGAAGCGCAAGUGACGGUACCUGGAGAAGAAGCACCGGCUAACUACGUG